AGUUUGCUGCCCUGUUCAGGUGCGCUUUGGGUUCUCAGAAUCCAAAGCGUUAAAUGGGAAGUUGGUGCAAAGCCAACGCUGCCCUCGCAACGGUAAACAGGUUUAACCCCUUGUAAGCCCGAUACCGGCCUAACAAGGCACGACCUA
This 147-nucleotide non-coding RNA is filed under the name Thiothrix lacustris. Lineage: Bacteria; Pseudomonadati; Pseudomonadota; Gammaproteobacteria; Thiotrichales; Thiotrichaceae. The record is from RNAcentral.